Amphiprion ocellaris (clown anemonefish) is the source of this 2374-nucleotide long non-coding RNA. RefSeq lists it as uncharacterized. The record is from RefSeq and is a predicted model, not a curated record. The transcript is spliced from 4 exons. NCBI's taxonomy places the organism in Eukaryota, Metazoa, Chordata, Actinopteri, Pomacentridae.
CCAUAGAUAAUAUAGAAGACAGCGCGCUAGCGUUUCAAGUCUUCUAUAUAUCCAUGGUCGGCACGUCUGGUAGCAUCUCUGGCUGCUGUUGAUCUUGUUUUUGGAGUAAAACACGGUGGAAGCUGAAUUAGUGAGGAUGACUCCUGCUCCUGUCAUCUCUAAGCUCCUCACACAUCUUUACCUGCACAUGAGGAAAAUCACUCCUGUAGAAUGCAGAUGUUCAGAGGGAGAUGAUGCCACAUCUGGUCCAGCUGAUGGAAGGUCUUGAAGUUCUCUGACUGGCCUCGACUGAAGAUGGUCGUCUCACUGGAUUUAAGGUUCAGAUGCUCAGUAACAAACUCCACCAAUGAGCCAACAGGGAAGCUUUAGGUUUAUUAAAUGUUGCUAUGAAGGUUUCGCUGUUUUUCUUUGUGAAUGCAAUGUGCUCCAACUGAAACUUGAAUUAGAACUUAGAAGUAAAUCCUUCCAUCUGAAAGGAUCUAGUUGCAUUAAUAACCUCAUAACAUUCUAAUUUUUAUUCCAGUCUUGGUUGGAAAUAGAAUCUCUGUAUUGAUUCAGGUAAAAACUGAACUUCACAGCAUGUUGAAGCAAAACAACCAGAUGAAAACUGUGAUGGUGUUGGAUUGUCAGACCGUAAUGUUGCAGCUCAAAGCAGCUUUUCUAGCUCAGUUCAUUCUGACAUUCAGCUAUGAAUCAACACAGCAGAUGGUGAUCCAUGCUGUGGAAGUCUCACAUCUCCUGAUUUAAUGGAGCUGCUUUGCACUUUUUACACUGUUUAUUCACCAACACUUUAUUUAAUAAAAGUCCCAUCUAGUUUUCAUGAGGAAUGUGAUGUUUUAAUUUCUCUGUGAAUAACUGCAGUCUAAUGCAACAGCUGGAAUUGUAACAUCUGUCCUGAUAUUGAUCAUGAAAUAUUUAUCAGAAUACUUAUGGUCAGCAGUCAUCCCUGAAGUUUUACAUUAAAAUCUUUACUUGUGUUGUGAACUUUGGUAAGAAGCAGAAACUUUUGCGUUGCCAUGGAUACAUGAGUGUUAAAUUCAGUCCAUGUUUCCAUUUUGGGAAAUGCAGUCCAGCAGAUGAGUUUGUUUUUACUGACAGCUACCAUUCAGUCUGAGAUAUUAAGAAUAAAUAAAGGUGCAUAAUGUGGAAAUUAACAAUUUUAUUUUUAUUUAUUUCUACAGCUGCAGGGAAAGUUCUAGACUGUGGAGGAAUUUAUUCUCACAAUCGCAGACAACAAAUAUUAUCUGAAAGUCGGGUUAUUGUUGUUUAUCAGCACAAUACAAAAAGAUUAAUGUUAGAAAUAUUCCAGUUAAGAAUAUCAUGAUUUAUGUAAAUUUACCUCAAUAAUAUGAAUGUUCAGGUUAAGAUUGUACAGUGAUAUUUAUUAUGCAAGUUUAGCUGAUUAAAGUUUAUGACUCUGCACUAAAAUAUUAUUUAAAUUGACAUUAUAAUAUUUAGGGUCAGACCCUACAGUAUUGAGAUUAAGAAAUCAAAUAUUCUAUAAAAUGUAAAUACACUGAACUCAUUUGGAUAUAUUUAAGUGAGACUCUACAAUAUUAUUUGACACAAAUCUAUCUAAAUCAAAAUUUUAAUUAUCUUUACUCCAAACAUUUACUGGACUGAUUUAAAUAUUAAAAUCACUCCUUUCUAAUCCUCUGCUGUACGUUCAAACCUGAGGCCUGAAAUAGAAACACACAAGUAUCUGAUUGAAGGAACUUCUGCAGAGUCCUGGUUCCAGAACAUGAUGAUAGAAUUAUAGACAAACUUUAACAAAAGCUGCCUGAGAGUUUACAGGUUUUUAUGUUGGAUUUCUUCAGUAAUUUAAUGAUAGUUAUCAGCAAAAAUCAAGUGUUCAUUUGAUGAACUUCAUUUCCUAAAACAUCCAGAAUUGGAGCUCAUAUCUUUGGCUGCUGUAAAGUUUCUGCUCCUUCAAAGUUCACAACACAAUGAAUGAAUUCCUAAAACACUCUCAAUGCUGGAGAGCGUUUGUGAUGCUGAAGCAGUGACCAGUUUUUCUGUUUCUUCUCUGGAGAUGCACAAUGAGGGACGUCUGCAGAGACUGAGAAAGAGUCUCACCACAUCCUGACAUGAGGAAAAAGACUUUAUUGAAGACUACAAUGAGAAAAACUAUUAGACAGCAGAUGGCUGCAUUCAAGUCUGUAGCUGCUGAAUUCAUGAAUGAAUCAUCUGGCACUAGAGAAGAAGACCAUCAAACAUCCAUGUCAGCUGAUGGAGGUCCAAGAGUCUCACCCAACAAACAACCUACAGAGUGAAGACCUCAAAUCUGAUUGGACGGCCUCCUAUUCAGCCACAUGUGUGAACAAAUGCCUCUAAGUUGAUUUGUUUUCUAAAAUAAAUCUAGUUUGAGUCCUAA